UACGGAGGGGGCAAGCGUUAUUCGGAAUCAUUGGGCGUAAAGCGCGUGUAGGCGGUCCGGUAAGUCCGCUGUGAAAGUCGGGGGCUCAACCCUCGGAUGCCGGUGGAUACUGUCGGGCUUGAGUACGGAAGAGGCGAGUGGAAUUCCUGGUGUAGCGGUGAAAUGCGCAGAUAUCAGGAGGAACACCAAUUGCGAAGGCAGCUCGCUGGGACGUUACUGACGCUGAGACGCGAAAGCGUGGGGAGCAAACAGG
This 253-nucleotide ribosomal RNA is filed under the name uncultured bacterium. RNAcentral describes it as "partial 16S ribosomal RNA". It matches the Rfam family "Bacterial small subunit ribosomal RNA", at positions 524 to 776 of the family's 1533-position model. The record is from RNAcentral.